GACGAACGCUGGCGGCGUGCUUAACACAUGCAAGUGGAGCGACGAACCGGGGCUUGCCCCGGGGCAAAGCCGCGAACGGGUGAGUAACACGUGGGUAACCCACCUCGAUGACCGGGACAACCCGGGGAAACUCGGGCUAAUACCGGAUGUGCUCUUCUCUCGCGAGAGAGGGGAGGAAAGGUAGCUUUGGCCUCCGCAUCGAGACGGGCCCGCGGCCCAUUAGCUUGUUGGUGGGGUAACGGCCUACCAAGGCUUCGAUGGGUAGCUGGUCUGAGAGGACGAUCAGCCACACUGGGACUGAGACACGGCCCAGACUCCUACGGGAGGCAGCAGUGGGGAAUCUUGCACAAUGCGCGAAAGCGUGAUGCAGCAACGCCGCGUGGGGGAAGAAGGCCUUCGGGUUGUAAACCCCUUUCAGUUGGGACGAAGCUUCGCCGGUUAAUAGCCGGCCGGAGUGACGGUACCUUCAGAAGAAGCUCCGGCUAACUACGUGCCAGCCGCCGCCGUAAAAC
Molecule: ribosomal RNA, 512 nt
Filed under: uncultured bacterium
Lineage: Bacteria
Description: bacterial SSU rRNA
Rfam family: Bacterial small subunit ribosomal RNA
Source: RNAcentral